This 77-nucleotide non-coding RNA is filed under the name uncultured Fusicatenibacter sp. RNAcentral describes it as "Cyclic di-GMP-I riboswitch". It matches the Rfam family "c-di-GMP-I riboswitch aptamer", at positions 12 to 83 of the family's 87-position model. Rfam says of the family: GEMM was predicted in a large-scale screen for bacterial structured RNA regulatory elements. Genes associated with GEMM are involved in a diverse array of functions, including chemotaxis regulation, signal transduction, secretion and chitin. Lineage: Bacteria; Bacillati; Bacillota; Clostridia; Lachnospirales; Lachnospiraceae. The record is from RNAcentral.
UGGCAAAACCUUCGAAAGAUGGUGACGCAAAGCUAUAGGGUCUAAUCCAUGUAACAUGAGAAUGACAACCAGUUGCA